The sequence is a non-coding RNA, 205 nucleotides long. It matches the Rfam family "T-box leader". Rfam says of the family: Uncharged tRNA acts as the effector for transcription antitermination of genes in the T-box leader family. T-boxes are found upstream of many aminoacyl-tRNA synthetase genes and some amino acid biosynthetic genes usually in Gram-positive bacteria.
ACGAAAACGUUGACGGGAAAUAGUAAUAGAUGUUCAAUGCCAAGAGAGUCGAUGUAUGGUGUGAAUCGAUCAUUGAGCCCUGUGAAUCCAUCCCUGAGUAGAAAGCUGAAUGAAGUACGCUUUCUCGGAGCAGACCGUUAUUCUGUUAAGAGGCAGGCAAUUGUCUGCAAUCAGGGUGGCAACGCGGGUAGCUCUCGUCCCUUUA